UACAGAGGGGGCAAGCGUUGUUCGGAAUUACUGGGCGUAAAGGGCGCGUAGGCGGCCUGCUAAGUCGAACGUGAAAUCCCUCGGCUCAACUGAGGAACUGCACGGGAAACUGCUCGACUUGAGUUCGGGAGAGGGAAGCGGAAUUCCGGGUGUAGCGGUGAAAUGCGUAGAUAUCCGGAGGAACACCGGUGGCGAAGGCGGCUUCCUGGACCGACACUGACGCUGAGGCGCGAAAGCUAGGGGAGCAAACGGG
RNAcentral lists this ribosomal RNA (253 nucleotides) under uncultured bacterium. RNAcentral describes it as "partial 16S ribosomal RNA". It matches the Rfam family "Bacterial small subunit ribosomal RNA", at positions 524 to 776 of the family's 1533-position model. The record is from RNAcentral.